Molecule: ribosomal RNA, 383 nt
Filed under: uncultured bacterium
Lineage: Bacteria
Description: bacterial SSU rRNA
Rfam family: Bacterial small subunit ribosomal RNA
Source: RNAcentral
GACGAACGCUGGCGGCGUGCUUAACACAUGCAAGUCGAGCGGUAAGGCCCUUUCGGGGGUACACGAGCGGCGAACGGGUGAGUAACACGUGGGUGACCUGCCUCUAGCUCUGGGAUAAGCCUGGGAAGCUGGGUCUAAUACCGGAUAUGACCUCGCGGUGCAUGUUGCGGGGUGGAAAGCCUUGUGCGGCUAGGGAUGGGCCCGCGGCCUAUCAGCUUGUUGGUGGGGUGAUGGCCUACCAAGGCGACGACGGGUAGCCGGCCUGAGAGGGCGACCGGCCACACUGGGACUGAGACACGGCCCAGACUCCUACGGGAGGCAGCAGUGGGGAAUCUUGCGCAAUGGGCGAAAAGCCUGACGCAGCGACGCCGCGUGAGGGAUGA